RNAcentral lists this long non-coding RNA (212 nucleotides) under Homo sapiens (human). RNAcentral's name for it is "long non-coding RNA NONHSAT018336". Lineage: Eukaryota; Metazoa; Chordata; Mammalia; Primates; Hominidae. The record is from RNAcentral.
GAAGAGGUGGUGCUGAUUUCCUUGGCUGGCGGGAACUCUGUCUGGCUGUUGCAUGCAUCACUUUUGUGUGGGUUAUUUUGUUCCUCUGUGGAUUUGGAAGCAUCGCUGAAGGAGAGAGAGGAUUUUAUUUCUGGGAAAUGGAAUCGGUUUCUGAGUCCAGCCAACAGCAGAAGAGAAAGCCAGUUAUCCACGGACUGGAAGAUCAAAAGAGG